GACGAACGCUGGCGGCGUGCUUAACACAUGCAAGUCGAGCGGUAAGGCCUCUUCGGGGGGCCACGAGCGGCGGACGGGGGCGUAACACGGGGGUGACCUUCCCUCAGCUCUGGGAUAAGCCUGGGAAACUGGGUCUAAUACCGGAAAUGACCUAUCCUCGCAUGGGGUUUGGUGGAAAGUUUUUUCGGCUGGGGAUGGGCCCGCGGCCUAUCAGCUUGUUGGUGGGGUGAUGGCCUACCGAGGCGACGACGGGUAGCCGGCCUGAGAGGGCGACCGGCCACCCUGGGACUGAGACACGGCCCAGGCUCCUACGGGAAGCAGCAGUGGGGUAUAUUGCGCAAUGGGCGGAAGCCUGACGCAGCGACGCCGCGUGGGGGAUGACGGCCUUCGGGUUGUAAACCUCUUUCGACCCCGACGAAUUUGGACGGUAGGGGUAGAAGAAGCACCGGCCAACUACGUG
Molecule: ribosomal RNA, 460 nt
Filed under: uncultured bacterium
Lineage: Bacteria
Description: partial 16S ribosomal RNA
Rfam family: Bacterial small subunit ribosomal RNA
Source: RNAcentral